UGAAACAUGGCCACUAAUGAACGGGGCACAGCGGCACCGGGCCACAGGACAAGAAGCUAAUUUGGAAUUGCAAGAGGAAGUUAAGGAGGUGAAAUAGGCAGGUCCCAAGGCAGUUAAGGCUGCAUUUCUCCCUGUGUCAUAAGUGACCUGUUAAAUCAAAAGGGGAGGGGGGCUUGCUGGAGCCUCUCCGAGGUAUGGAUACUCCCCCACCCAAGCUUGGAGUCUUGACUUUCCAGGCAAGAGCUCAAGGCCACCUUGGCUGCCUUUUCUCUCUGCCUCUCCCACUCCUGGCAUGAUAACAGCUCCCGGCGAAGGACAGUUUGCACAGUUAUCUGCAGUGGCUUCUCCUCAAUCUUUGCAUGGAGUCCCUGGCUGGGGCACUGCCAGGUGUGGGCUGAGCCUCGCUACCAGCUCCCAUCUGGCCCUUUGGUUUAACAGCUUUUCCCUCAAGGCUGUAACCAAGCUCCUGGGCAAGCGCCAGCGCUCUGAGGCACGGGUGCUGCUCUACAGGAGGACAGAGCAUGGGCACUGGCCAGCUGGCUUAGCAAGUCUGAGUCCUGCUCCACCAAGAUCGACUUCAGCCAGGGGUGGAGCGGGAAUCCUGCAUCGGGGCUAG
RNAcentral lists this long non-coding RNA (616 nucleotides) under Chelonoidis abingdonii (Abingdon island giant tortoise). Its description in RNAcentral is "lncRNA (ENSCABG00000009812.1)". Lineage: Eukaryota; Metazoa; Chordata; Testudines; Testudinidae. The record is from RNAcentral.